Molecule: microRNA, 23 nt
Filed under: Glycine max (soybean)
Lineage: Eukaryota; Viridiplantae; Streptophyta; Magnoliopsida; Fabales; Fabaceae
Description: gma-miR5780a
Source: miRBase by way of RNAcentral
AUCACUUAGCUGACGGUAGGGAC